UAGUACGGCGAGUGAAGCGGCAAAAGCUCAAAUUUGAAAUCUGGUACCUUCGGUGCCCGAGUUGUAAUUUGGAGAGGGCAACUUUGGGGCCGUUCCUUGUCUAUGUUCCUUGGAACAGGACGUCAUAGAGGGUGAGAAUCCCGUGUGGCGAGGAGUGCGGUUCUUUGUAAAGUGCCUUCGAAGAGUCGAGUUGUUUGGGAAUGCAGCUCUAAGUGGGUGGUAAAUUCCAUCUAAAGCUAAAUAUUGGCGAGAGACCGAUAGCGAACAAGUACAGUGAUGGAAAGAUGAAAAGAACUUUGAAAAGAGAGUGAAAAAGUACGUGAAAUUGUUGAAAGGGAAGGGCAUUUGAUCAGACAUGGUGUUUUGUGCCCUCUGCUCCUUGUGGGUAGGGGAAUCUCGCAUUUCACUGGGCCAGCAUCAGUUUUGGUGGCAGGAUAAAUCCAUAGGAAUGUAGCUUGCCUCGGUAAGUAUUAUAGCCUGUGGGAAUACUGCCAGCUGGGACUGAGGACUGCGACGUAAGUCAAGGAUGCUGGCAUAAUGGUUAUAUGCCGCCCGUCUUGAAACACGGACCAA
This 573-nucleotide ribosomal RNA is filed under the name Saccharomyces cerevisiae (brewer's yeast). Its description in RNAcentral is "partial large subunit ribosomal RNA". It matches the Rfam family "Eukaryotic large subunit ribosomal RNA", at positions 81 to 669 of the family's 3401-position model. The record is from RNAcentral. Lineage: Eukaryota; Fungi; Ascomycota; Saccharomycetes; Saccharomycetales; Saccharomycetaceae.